GGCGCGUUGGCGGGGGUGAUUACCGUCGGCGCGAUCGCGGCCGCGCUGGCGGUGGCCGGUCUGCUGGCCACCACCCGUUCGGCACGAACGGGCACCGC
Molecule: transfer RNA, 98 nt
Filed under: Mycobacterium basiliense
Lineage: Bacteria; Bacillati; Actinomycetota; Actinomycetes; Mycobacteriales; Mycobacteriaceae
Description: tRNA-???(cgcg)
Source: RNAcentral